Long non-coding RNA from Tachysurus vachellii, 317 nucleotides. RefSeq lists it as uncharacterized. The transcript has 3 exons. NCBI's taxonomy places the organism in Eukaryota, Metazoa, Chordata, Actinopteri, Siluriformes, Bagridae. The record is from RefSeq and is a predicted model, not a curated record.
CAAACAGCAGUGAACCCCAAGAAGUAUCAGAUGACAUAAAUGAUGCCACACAGUCUCUCUCCAGUGGUGAUCAAAUCAUCUAGUGUGCAGCCACCCAAGCUGUUCUUACAGAUGCACCUAGCAUCUCAAAAGACAACAAUGCAAUGUCUAGUUGUGCUGCUGUCAUCACCAUCAAUGUAACCAGUGACCAUUCCCCUCCCAUCUCUGGUGCUUACAGGAACCCCUUACAGUACUUAUCUGGACCUAUUUGAGGAAGAAUAUUUCUCUGAUGAUCCUGAUCUCCAAGAAGCCAUUUCAAGAUCUUUGACUGCUAGAAC